CUUUAAUGAAGGAUAAAAGACAUUUAUAACUUUUUGAUUAACUUUGACAAAAAAAACAUAUGGUUAACUAAUAUACACUUAAAACAUCAACACUAAACUCUAAACCAUGAAACAUCAACUCUAAACCCUAAACCUCGAAACAUCAACUCUAAACCCUAAACCCUAAACCAUCAACUCUAAACCCUAAACGUAAACCCUAAACCCUAAAUCUAAACUUAAAACAUCAACUUAAAACCCUAAACACCGAAACAUCAACUCUAAACACUAAACCCUAAACCCUGAAACAUCAACUCUAAACCCUAAACCUUCGAAUCAAAACCCUAAAACAUCAACUCUAAACGCUAAAUCCUAAACCCUAAACCUUCGAAUCAAAACCCUAAA
RNAcentral lists this long non-coding RNA (381 nucleotides) under Brassica napus (rape). RNAcentral's name for it is "long non-coding RNA (BNAP_LNC017552)". Lineage: Eukaryota; Viridiplantae; Streptophyta; Magnoliopsida; Brassicales; Brassicaceae. The record is from RNAcentral.